UACGUAGGGGGCUAGCGUUGUCCGGAUUUAUUGGGCGUAAAGAGCGUGUAGGCGGCCAGGUAGGUCUGCUGUGAAAACUCGAGGCUUAACCUCGAGAUGUCGGCGGAAACCAUCUGGCUAGAGUCCGGAAGAGGAGAGUGGAAUUCCCGGUGUAGCGGUGAAAUGCGCAGAUAUCGGGAAGAACACCUAUGGCGAAGGCAGCUCUCUGGGACGGUACUGACGCUGAGACGCGAAAGCGUGGGGAGCGAACAGG
RNAcentral lists this ribosomal RNA (253 nucleotides) under uncultured bacterium. RNAcentral describes it as "partial 16S ribosomal RNA". It matches the Rfam family "Bacterial small subunit ribosomal RNA", at positions 524 to 776 of the family's 1533-position model. The record is from RNAcentral.